This 439-nucleotide ribosomal RNA is filed under the name uncultured bacterium. RNAcentral's name for it is "partial 16S ribosomal RNA". It matches the Rfam family "Bacterial small subunit ribosomal RNA", at positions 338 to 795 of the family's 1533-position model. The record is from RNAcentral.
CCUACGGGGGGCAGCAGUAGGGAAUUUUGCGCAAUGGGUGAAAGCCUGACGCAGCAACGCCGCGUGAUCGAGAUGCCCUUCGGGGUGUAAAGAUCUAUCAGCAGGGAAGAAAAUGACGGUACCUGACUAAGAAGCCCCGGCUAACUACGUGCCAGCAGCCGCGGUAAUACGUAGGGGGCAAGCGUUAUCCGGAUUUACUGGGUGUAAAGGGAGCGUAGGCGGUUUAGCAAGUCAGAAGUGAAAGCCCGGGGCUCAACUCCGGGACUGCUUUUGAAACUGUUGAACUAGAUUGCAGGAGAGGUAAGCGGAAUUCGUAGUGUAGCGGUGAAAUGCGUAGAUAUUAGGAGGAACACCAGUGGCGAAGGCGGCUUACUGGACUGUAAAUGACGCUGAGGCUCGAAAGCGUGGGGAGCAAACAGGAUUAGAUACCCCUGUAGUC